Non-coding RNA from Myodes glareolus (Bank vole), 375 nucleotides. NCBI's taxonomy places the organism in Eukaryota, Metazoa, Chordata, Mammalia, Rodentia, Cricetidae. The record is from RefSeq and is a predicted model, not a curated record.
UAAAAUAAUUAACAGAAACCAAUCACCUUAUGGGCCUGGUAAAGCCUGCUGUUCUGAUACUGCUGCCUCCAACGCUAUGGAGACCUGGGUUUCCCCUUGGUUGGUGGACACAAACAAACAUGAAUUGCUGACUGCAACCUGCUCCAAAUGACCGUGGACCAUGGACUUGCUAAAAAUCUGAUAUGGACCAAUGUAGCUGAUAUAAAUGCUCCCUGGCUCUUCAACAAAGUCCACAAAUCAAAUGUUCCUAAGAUUUUCUCUUUUUGACUAGCAUUUCACCUUUGUUAACCCUUGACAACGACGCCCCAAAGUCAACUGGAAGCAGUUAAAAGAAUACAUCGUCCAAUAACCCCUGUUUAAAAUGCUAAGUCAAAA